AUCAACUUUCGAUGGUAGGAUAGAGGCNUACUAUGGUGAUAACGGGUAACGGGGUGUUAGGGCACGACACCGAAGAGGGAGCNUGAGAAACGGCUACCACAUCCAAGGAUGGCAGCAGGCGCGCAAAUUACCCAAUCCUGACACAGGGAAGUAGUGACAAUAAAUAACAAUACGGGGUUCUUUCAGAUCUUGUAAUUGGAAUGAGUACAAUUUAAAUCUCUUAACGAGGAACAAUUGGAGGGCAAGUCUGAUGCCAGCAGCCGUGGUAAUUCUAGCUCCAAUAACGUAUAUUAAAGUUGUUACAGUUAAAAAGCUCGUAGUUGAAUUUCGGAAUCAAUAUGUUGGUCGUGCCAUUGGUACGUACUGGCAUUAUUGAUUCUUACCUUCUGAAGAACCUCAAUGUCAUUAAUUUGGUGUCUUGGGGAAUCAGGACUGUUACUUUGAAAAAAUUAGAGUGUUUAAAGCAGGCUCGCGCUUGAAUACAUUAGCAUGGAAUAAUGAAAUAGGACAUUUGAUUCUAUUUUGUUAGUUUCUAGGAUCGACGUAAUGAUUAAUAGGGAUAGUUAGGGGCAUUAGUAUUCAAUUGUCAGAGGUGAAAUUCUUGGAUUUAUUGAAGACUAACUACUGCAAAAGCAUUUGCCAAGGAUGUUUUUAUUAAUCAAGAACGAAAGUUAGGGGAUCGAAAACGAUCAGAUACCGUCGUAGUCUUAACCAUAAACUAUGCCGACUAGGGAUCAGAUGAUGUUAAUUUUUUAAUGACUCAUUCGGCGCCUUACGGGAAACCAAAGUGUUUGGGUUC
RNAcentral lists this ribosomal RNA (799 nucleotides) under uncultured Glomus. RNAcentral describes it as "SSU rRNA". It matches the Rfam family "Eukaryotic small subunit ribosomal RNA", at positions 314 to 1114 of the family's 1831-position model. The record is from RNAcentral. Lineage: Eukaryota; Fungi; Glomeromycota; Glomeromycetes; Glomerales; Glomeraceae.